AUAUGGACAGUACUAACUCCUGAAUUUCCUGUUACAGGUAGUGGAUUCGAGAGGCACACCAACACCAGCAGAUGAGUCUCCGUUUAAUACUUGGGAUAUUAUAACAGUAAGUUAUAGCUCCAGAAGUCAAUCACCAGCAGCAGAUGUCACACAGUUAUAAAAUGGGAAACUUGUAGAAUAAGGUACUAGUGGUUUGGAUACAUGUGUGGGAAAUUUCACCUUUCACUUAAAAUGAAGGUACAGUUACAGUCCUUAAGAGUAUACUGGCAAAUGGUAA
Molecule: long non-coding RNA, 277 nt
Organism: Schistocerca americana (American grasshopper)
Lineage: Eukaryota; Metazoa; Arthropoda; Insecta; Orthoptera; Acrididae
Exons: 3
Source: RefSeq, a predicted model, not a curated record